This 367-nucleotide ribosomal RNA is filed under the name uncultured bacterium. RNAcentral describes it as "bacterial SSU rRNA". It matches the Rfam family "Bacterial small subunit ribosomal RNA", at positions 28 to 387 of the family's 1533-position model. The record is from RNAcentral.
GAUGAACGCUAGCGGCAGGCUUAAUACAUGCAAGUCGAGGGGCAGCACGGGUAGCAAUACCUGGUGGCGACCGGCAAACGGGUGCGGAACACGUACGCAACCUUCCCAUAACUGGUGAAUAGCCCUCCGGAAAGGAGGAUUAAUACACCGUAACUUAACGAAGUGGCAUUCACUUUUGUUAAUAUAGGCUUCGGCCGGUUUUGGAUGGGCGUGCGCCUGAUUAGGUAGUUGGCGGGGUAACGGCCCACCAAGCCUGCGAUCAGUAACUGGUGUGAGAGCACGACCAGUCACACGGGCACUGAGACACGGGCCCGACUCCUACGGGAGGCAGCAGUAAGGAAUAUUGGUCAAUGGACGAAAGUCUGAA